AGAGUUUGAUCAUGGCUCAGAUUGAACGCUGGCGGCAGGCCUAACACAUGCAAGUCGAACGGUAACAGGAAACAGCUUGCUGUUUCGCUGACGAGUGGCGGACGGGUGAGUAAUGUCUGGGAAACUGCCUGAUGGAGGGGGAUAACUACUGGAAACGGUAGCUAAUACCGCAUAACGUCGCAAGACCAAAGAGGGGGACCUUCGGGCCUCUUGCCAUCAGAUGUGCCCAGAUGGGAUUAGCUAGUAGGUGGGGUAACGGCUCACCUAGGCGACGAUCCCUAGCUGGUCUGAGAGGAUGACCAGCCACACUGGAACUGAGACACGGUCCAGACUCCUACGGGAGGCAGCAGUGGGGAAUAUUGCACAAUGGGCGCAAGCCUGAUGCAGCCAUGCCGCGUGUAUGAAGAAGGCCUUCGGGUUGUAAAGUACUUUCAGCGGGGAGGAAGGGAGUAAAGUUAAUACCUUUGCUCAUUGACGUUACCCGCAGAAGAAGCACCGGCUAACUCCGUGCCAGCAGCCGCGGUAAUACGGAGGGUGCAAGCGUUAAUCGGAAUUACUGGGCGUAAAGCGCACGCAGGCGGUUUGUUAAGUCAGAUGUGAAAUCCCCGGGCUCAACCUGGGAACUGCAUCUGAUACUGGCAAGCUUGAGUCUCGUAGAGGGGGGUAGAAUUCCAGGUGUAGCGGUGAAAUGCGUAGAGAUCUGGAGGAAUACCGGUGGCGAAGGCGGCCCCCUGGACGAAGACUGACGCUCAGGUGCGAAAGCGUGGGGAGCAAACAGGAUUAGAUACCCUGGUAGUCCACGCCGUAAACGAUGUCGACUUGGAGGUUGUGCCCUUGAGGCGUGGCUUCCGGAGCUAACGCGUUAAGUCGACCGCCUGGGGAGUACGGCCGCAAGGUUAAAACUCAAAUGAAUUGACGGGGGCCCGCACAAGCGGUGGAGCAUGUGGUUUAAUUCGAUGCAACGCGAAGAACCUUACCUGGUCUUGACAUCCACGGAAGUUUUCAGAGAUGAGAAUGUGCCUUCGGGAACCGUGAGACAGGUGCUGCAUGGCUGUCGUCAGCUCGUGUUGUGAAAUGUUGGGUUAAGUCCCGCAACGAGCGCAACCCUUAUCCUUUGUUGCCAGCGGUCCGGCCGGGAACUCAAAGGAGACUGCCAGUGAUAAACUGGAGGAAGGUGGGGAUGACGUCAAGUCAUCAUGGCCCUUACGACCAGGGCUACACACGUGCUACAAUGGCGCAUACAAAGAGAAGCGACCUCGCGAGAGCAAGCGGACCUCAUAAAGCGCGUCGUAGUCCGGAUUGGAGUCUGCAACUCGACUCCAUGAAGUCGGAAUCGCUAGUAAUCGUGGAUCAGAAUGCCACGGUGAAUACGUUCCCGGGCCUUGUACACACCGCCCGUCACACCAUGGGAGUGGGUUGCAAAAGAAGUAGGUAGCUUAACCUUCGGGAGGGCGCUUACCACUUUGUGAUUCAUGACUGGGGUGAAGUCGUAACAAGGUAACCGUAGGGGAACCUGCGGUUG
Molecule: ribosomal RNA, 1522 nt
Filed under: metagenome
Description: bacterial SSU rRNA
Rfam family: Bacterial small subunit ribosomal RNA
Source: RNAcentral